AGCAGCCGCGGUAAUUCCAGCUCCAAUAGCGUAUAUUAAAGUUGUUGCAGUUAAAAAGCUCGUAGUUGAAUUUCGGGGUCAGUAGGUUGGUCGUGCCACUGGUAUGCACUGGUCUCACUGAUUCCUCCUUCCUGAUGAACCGUAAUGCCAUUAAUUUGGUGUUGCGGGGAAUCUGGACUGUUACUUUGAAAAAUUAGAGUGUUUAAAGCAGGCUAACGCUUGAAUACAUUAGCAUGGAAUAAUGAAAUAGGACGAUCGAUCCUAUUUUGUUGGUUUCUAGGAUUGACGUAAUGAUUAAUAGGGAUAGUUGGGGGCAUUAGUAUUCAAUUGUCAGAGGUGAAAUUCUUGGAUUUAUUGAAGACUAACUACUGCGAAAGCAUUUGCCAAGGAUGUUUUCAUUAAUCAAGAACGAAAGUUAGGGGAUCGAAGACGAUCAGAUACCGUCGUAGUCUUAACCAUAAACUAUGCCGACUAGGGAUCGGAUGAUGUUAAUUUUUAAUGUA
RNAcentral lists this ribosomal RNA (503 nucleotides) under uncultured Glomus. Its description in RNAcentral is "SSU rRNA". It matches the Rfam family "Eukaryotic small subunit ribosomal RNA", at positions 569 to 1078 of the family's 1831-position model. Lineage: Eukaryota; Fungi; Glomeromycota; Glomeromycetes; Glomerales; Glomeraceae. The record is from RNAcentral.